GAUGAACGCUGGCGGCGUGCUUAACACAUGCAAGUCGAACGGUGAAGCAGGAGCUUGCUCUUGUGGAUCAGUGGCGAACGGGUGAGUAACACGUGAGCAACCUGCCCCUGACUCUGGGAUAAGCGCUGGAAACGGCGUCUAAUACUGGAUAUGUGAUGUGACCGCAUGGUCUGCAUCUGGAAAGAAUUUCGGUUGGGGAUGGGCUCGCGGCCUAUCAGCUUGUUGGUGAGGUAAUGGCUCACCAAGGCGUCGACGGGUAGCCGGCCUGAGAGGGGGGCGGGCCACACUGGGACUGAGACACGGCCCAGACGCCUACGGGAGGCAGCAGUGGGGAAUAUUGCACAAUGGGCGGAAGCCUGAUGCAGCAACGCCGCGUGAGGGAUGACGGCCUUCGGGUUGUAAACCUCUUUUAGCAGGGAAGAAGCGAAAGUGACGGUACCUGCAGAAAAAGCACCGGCUAACUACGUGCCAGCAGCCGCCGUAA
RNAcentral lists this ribosomal RNA (484 nucleotides) under uncultured bacterium. RNAcentral describes it as "partial 16S ribosomal RNA". It matches the Rfam family "Bacterial small subunit ribosomal RNA", at positions 28 to 523 of the family's 1533-position model. The record is from RNAcentral.